GUGAAUUUGUGGGAGAAAGAGAACAGAUAUAUGCAUCCCUCAUGUUUACAAAUUUAUUUUUACUUUAAACAUACCUUUAUUUUUCUCUCUGUGCCAACUGUGGAUGUGAAUUGUUCAGGUUGGUUUUAAUAUGCUAAUAACCUUCUUCAUAUGCUUGUAUUGCAGUAUUGCUCAGGAGACCCAGUCAUGGACCAGGCCUCUUUGGGCUGUGAAGGGUGUAUUAACUCAGAAGAAAUUACUGGUGAUCCAAGUAAUCUGAUUUUGUCUACGUUUUGUUAUGUCCUCUAAUAAGAACAUCGUCAAAAUCUGCUCUUCAUGACUAGAAAGAGAGAGGCAAAGGAAGGCUUUUGCAAUGAAUUGCCACCGCAGAGCUGGAGGAAAUACAUCAGAGGAUGCUGGACAACCAGUGCUUAUUGAGCAGUUCUCCUCAUUGAAUGUUCAAUGAAGAUUAGGACCAACAAUGUAUUGUUUAGGAGGUAUCCCACCUAGAACAUUUAUUUUUGUAUAUUCCCUCAUGCAUUUUUCCAGACUUUCCACAUCCUCAUCUCCAUCAAAAAUUAAUGCUAUCCCACCAUGGUGAAAACUUCAAUGGACGGUCUCUGAACAGCAACAGUUUCCCCAGCCCAUCUCCACUUACAGAACUUCAGUUUGCUUUGUGAAACAGACUCAGACCUUGAGAAGUGGAAUGUUCUGGGUGAAACAAAACUAGAAGAUGCACAUUCCAAGAGGCUGCCUACUGUACGUCAGCCACCCCCAAAUGCUCAGUCCACAGGUCAGAAGGCCAAUACUAUUAUUCCUUUCAUCACUAAAUGGUACUUAUGUUGCACUAGGACUCUGCAGCCUGGACCAUUCUGCAAUACCAAUCUCAACACCUAUGUUUUAG
This 883-nucleotide long non-coding RNA is filed under the name Anas platyrhynchos platyrhynchos (common mallard). Its description in RNAcentral is "lncRNA (ENSAPLG00000020513.1)". Lineage: Eukaryota; Metazoa; Chordata; Aves; Anseriformes; Anatidae. The record is from RNAcentral.